This 508-nucleotide ribosomal RNA is filed under the name uncultured bacterium. Its description in RNAcentral is "partial 16S ribosomal RNA". It matches the Rfam family "Bacterial small subunit ribosomal RNA", at positions 28 to 523 of the family's 1533-position model. The record is from RNAcentral.
GAUGAACGCUAGCUACAGGCUUAACACAUGCAAGUCGAGGGGAAACGAUAUUGGAAGCUUGCUUCCGAUAGGCGUCGACCGGCGCACGGGUGAGUAACGCGUAUCCAACCUGCCCACCACUUGGGGAUAACCUUGCGAAAGUAAGACUAAUACCCAAUGACGUCCAUAGAAGACAUCUGAAAUGGAUUAAAGAUUUAUCGGUGAUGGAUGGGGAUGCGUCUGAUUAGCUUGUUGGCGGGGUAACGGCCCACCAAGGCGACGAUCAGUAGGGGUUCUGAGAGGAAGGUCCACCACAUUGGAACUGAGACACGGUUCAAACUCCUACGGGAGGCAGCAGUGAGGAAUAUUGGUCAAUGGGCGAGAGCCUGAACCAGCCAAGUAGCGUGCAGGAUGACGGCCCUAUGGGUUGUAAACUGCUUUUAUAAGGGAAUAAAGUGAGCCUCGUGAGGCUUUUUGCAUGUACCUUAUGAAUAAGGACCGGCUAAUUCCGUGCCAGCCGCCGCGGUAA